CACGGGGGGAGCAAGCGUUGUUCGGAAUCACUGGGCGUAAAGCGCGUGUAGGCGGCUUUGCAAGUCGGGUGUGAAAGCCCUCAGCUCAACUGAGGAAGUGCGCCCGAAACUGCAUAGCUUGAGUACCGGAGAGGAUGGUGGAAUUCCCGAAGUAGAGGUGAAAUUCGUAGAUAUCGGGAGGAACAUCAGUGGCGAAGGCGGCCUUCUGGUCCAGUACUGACACUCAAGUGCGAAAGCGUGGGGAGCAAACAGG
RNAcentral lists this ribosomal RNA (253 nucleotides) under uncultured bacterium. Its description in RNAcentral is "partial 16S ribosomal RNA". It matches the Rfam family "Bacterial small subunit ribosomal RNA", at positions 524 to 776 of the family's 1533-position model. The record is from RNAcentral.